Molecule: ribosomal RNA, 995 nt
Filed under: Paraulacizes irrorata
Lineage: Eukaryota; Metazoa; Arthropoda; Insecta; Hemiptera; Cicadellidae
Description: SSU rRNA
Rfam family: Eukaryotic small subunit ribosomal RNA
Source: RNAcentral
UACCACAUCCAAGGANGCAGCAGGCGCGCAAAUUACCCACUCCCGGCACGGGGAGGUAGUGACGAAAAAUAACGAUACGGGACUCAUCCGAGGCCCCGUAAUCGGAAUGAGUACACUUUAAAUCCUUUAACGAGUACCAAUUGGAGGGCAAGUCUGGUGCCAGCAGCCGCGGUAAUUCCAGCUCCAAUAGCGUAUAUUAAAGUUGUUGCGGUUAAAAAGCUCGUAGUUGGAUCUGUGUCUUACGAUGUCGGUUCACCGCUCGCGGUGUUAACUGGCAUGCCUGUGGGACGUCCUGCCGGUGGCGGUCCGGGCCCGAGGAUAUGUGUAGGGCUUGCCCGAAGCAUGCCGAGGGUACCGGCCGCCGAUUCAAUCCCGCCGCGGUGCUCUUAACUGAGUGUCGAGGUGGGCCGGCACGUUUACUUUGAACAAAUUAGAGUGCUUAAAGCAGGCUGAUUUCUGCCUGAAUACUGUGUGCAUGGAAUAAUGGAAUAGGACUUCGGUUCUAUUUUGUUGGUUUUAAGAAUCCGAAGUAAUGAUUAAUAGGGACAGGCGGGGGCAUUCGUAUUGCGACGUUAGACUUGGCAAAUGCUUUCGCGGUGAAAUUCUUGGAUCGUCGCAAGACGUACCUAAGCGAAAGCAUUUGCCAAGUAUGUCCUCGUUAAUCAAGAACGAAAGUUAGAGGUUCGAAGGCGAUCAGAUACCGCCCUAGUUCUAACCAUAAACGAUGCCAGCCAGCGAUCCGCCGAAGUUCCUCCGAUGACUCGGCGGGCAGCUUCCGGGAAACCAAAGCUUUUGGGUUCCGGGGGAAGUAUGGUUGCAAAGCUGAAACUUAAAGGAAUUGACGGAAGGGCACCACCAGGAGUGGAGCCUGCGGCUUAAUUUGACUCAACACGGGAAACCUCACCAGGCCCGGACACCGGAAGGAUUGACAGAUUGAUAGCUCUUUCUUGAUUCGGUGGGUGGUGGUGCAUGGCCGUUCUUAGUUGGUGGAGCGA